CUACGGGGUGCUGCAGUGGGGAAUAUUGGACAAUGGGGGAAACCCUGAUCCAGCAAUGCCGCGUGUGUGAAGAAGGCCUGCGGGUUGUAAAGCACUUUCGGUUGGGAGGACUGCUUCUAGCACUAAUAUUGUUGGAAGUUGACGUUACCUUCAGAAGAGGCACCGGCUAACUCCGUGCCAGCAGCCGCGGUAAUACGGAGGGUGCACGCGUUAAUCGGAAUUACUGGGCGUAAAGCGCGCGUAGGCGGCUAGAUCAGUCGGGUGUGAAAGCCCCGGGCUUAACCUGGGAACUGCAUCCGAUACUGUCUAGCUUGAGUACAGGAGAGGAGAGUGGAAUUCCACAUGUAGCGGUGAAAUGCGUAGAUAUGUGGAGGAACACCAAUGGCGAAGGCAGCUCUCUGGCCUGAUACUGACGCUGAGGUGCGAAAGCGUGGGGAGCAAACAGGAUUAGAUACCCUUGUAGUC
Molecule: ribosomal RNA, 465 nt
Filed under: uncultured bacterium
Lineage: Bacteria
Description: partial 16S ribosomal RNA
Rfam family: Bacterial small subunit ribosomal RNA
Source: RNAcentral